This 260-nucleotide ribosomal RNA is filed under the name uncultured bacterium. RNAcentral's name for it is "partial 16S ribosomal RNA". It matches the Rfam family "Bacterial small subunit ribosomal RNA", at positions 333 to 589 of the family's 1533-position model. The record is from RNAcentral.
AAUAACCUACGGGGGGCAGCAGUGAGGAAUAUUGGUCAAUGGGCGCAAGCCUGAACCAGCCAAGUCGCGUGAGGGAUGACGGUCCUAUGGAUUGUAAACCUCUUUUGUCGGGGAGCAAGGCCCGCCACGUGUGGCGGGAAGGAGAGUACCCGGAGAAAAAGCAUCGGCUAACUCCGUGCCAGCAGCCGCGGUAAUACGGAGGAUGCGAGCGGUAUCCGGAUUUAUUGGGUUUAAAGGGUGCGUAGGCGGAAGGGUAAGUC